GUGAGUCAUCGAAUCUUUGAACGCACAUUGCGCCCGCCAGUAUUCUGGCGGGCAUGCCUGUCCGAGCGUCAUUUCAACCCUCAAGCCCCUCCGGGUGCGCUUGGUGUUGGAGACCGGCGAACCCGGCCCCUCCCCGGGGCCCCGGGCGCCGCCUCCCAAAUCCAGUGGCGGUCUCGCCGCAGCCUUCCCUGCGUAGUAGCAUCUUAUUUCGCAUGGGAGAGCGGCGCGGCCACGCCGUUAAACACCCCACUUCUGAACGGUUGACCUCGGAUCAGGUAGGACUACCCGCUGAACUUAAGCAUAUCAAUAAGCGGAGGA
RNAcentral lists this unclassified non-coding RNA (318 nucleotides) under Penicillifer sp. RNAcentral describes it as "partial contains 5.8S ribosomal RNA, internal transcribed spacer 2, and large subunit ribosomal RNA". The stretch from base 1 to 71 matches the Rfam family "5.8S ribosomal RNA", at positions 84 to 154 of the family's 154-position model. Lineage: Eukaryota; Fungi; Ascomycota; Sordariomycetes; Hypocreales; Nectriaceae. The record is from RNAcentral.